UAUGAUUUAUUAAAAUAAAUUAAGAGCAUGAUUUUAAGACCUUGUAAUAAUUUUUCUUAAGUUCUCUAAUUUUUAUUUAUUCAAGAAUGACCCCAAUCAUUCCUCACCAUUUGAUUGGUAAGUGAGAAAAUAUCAUGAGAUAAGAUAGAUCCCCACCGUUUAUUCCUUAGCUUAUGAAGUAAGAUUGACCAAAACACAACUUAAGUCCUUACCCCCUUUGAACCUGUCUGUAUCUUCAAACAGGAAGAAAAAGUUUUCUUCUCUUCCAAGCCUAGUCGACACAUUCAUCUCCUUUUUUCCUCAUCUCUUUUCACCUUCAAGAGACUAAAACUGCCUCUACUCAUCAUCAAGCCAUGCGAUUCCAUAGCAAGAGAAGGGAAACAUUUUCCUUUCUCCAUCUCCAAACUGCACGGAUUCAACCCCUCCCUACCAAUUUUUGAGUUUUGUUCAAAAUUUAGAAUCCAAAACUUGUUUCAUCUUUUUAAGGGAUAGAAUAUUGAAAGUAAUAAAUUCUUGAUUCACUUUUUACUAUAAUUUCCAUAUGGGUUUCGAGUUUCACUAUUUAUUUCACCUAUUGAUGUUCGGUUUUGGAGGUUUAAAAUAGUGCCAUCGUUGCCCUUCAUCCACACGACCAUACUACUAAUUGGCUCUCUAUCUUACCUCUUGAAAUGAAUUAAGAGCUUAAGAAAACUCCUUGACUUGAGUUGGCAUGGAUUCCGGAUAACGAAAUAUAAAAAAUUGUGAUAUCUUGGUGCUGAUGAAAUGCUUACGGGAUCAAGAAAGUCAUGUUUGGACACGUGCCAAAUUAUUUUUCUAUGCUUGCUGAUGCUCCUCCAUUACAGGUAAGUUUAACACAUCAUUGGUUCUUAAAAUCACUUUUUUUAGGAAAACACUAAUUGUAAGUUAAAGUCAGUUUCUUACUAUGUUCAUCUCUUGUAAGUACAAUUGCAUCUCUCGUACCAGGGUGAUGAUCAAGUUGUAUAUAAAUGGUGCCAGCCAUGAUGGUAGUCAGGUUUUAGAGAUUUUGGUAUAACUGCUAAAAUGAUUUAGAAUAUGGUCAGAAACAACUUGUAAAUUUGUUUCCUAAAUUAAUGUUGUGUUUCAGUGUGCAUAAAUGAAGCAGUUGGGAUAGCAUCUGAAGCUUGUUGGUAGUUUGGAGCAUCUAAAGCAUGUGCAAUUUUGCUAGUUUUAUUGAGUUGGCUAAGUGAUACUCUAAUAUCAACUAACUAUUCUGGGAAAAAAUCUGAGAUUUAUUAAAUUGUAUUGGGUUUAGUUGUAUUAUGUUGGGAUGUGCUACUGUU
Carya illinoinensis is the source of this 1301-nucleotide long non-coding RNA. RefSeq lists it as uncharacterized. The record is from RefSeq and is a predicted model, not a curated record. The transcript has 2 exons. Lineage: Eukaryota; Viridiplantae; Streptophyta; Magnoliopsida; Fagales; Juglandaceae.